This 499-nucleotide ribosomal RNA is filed under the name uncultured bacterium. RNAcentral's name for it is "partial 16S ribosomal RNA". It matches the Rfam family "Bacterial small subunit ribosomal RNA", at positions 28 to 507 of the family's 1533-position model. The record is from RNAcentral.
GACGAACGCUGGCGGCGUGCUUAACGCAUGCAAGUCGAACGGGCCCGCUCUCUUUUUUGGGGGUGGGUUGAGUGGCGAACGGGUGAGUAUCACGUGAGUAACCUGCCCCCUGCUCCUGGAUAACUGCUUGAAAGGGCGGCUAAUACGGGGUGUGCCGGCUGGUCCGCAUGGGCCUGGUCGGGAUAGUUUCAUCUUCGGGUGUUUCGGUGGGGGAUGGGCUCGCGGCCUAUCAGCUUGUUGGUGGGGUGAUGGCCCACCAAGGCGGUGACGGGUAGCCGGCCUGAGAGGGUGGGCGGCCACACUGGGACUGAGACACGGCCCAGACUCCUGCGGGAGGCAGCAGUGGGGGGUAUUGCACAAUGGGCGGAAGCCUGAUGCAGCGACGUCGCGUGAGGGAUGGAGGCCUUCGGGUUGUGAACCUCUUUCUCCGGUGGUGAAGGCCCUGUCCGUUGCGGCGGGGUUAACGGUAGCCGGGUAUGAAGCGCCGGCUAACUACGUG